RNAcentral lists this ribosomal RNA (450 nucleotides) under uncultured Glomeromycotina. Its description in RNAcentral is "SSU rRNA". It matches the Rfam family "Eukaryotic small subunit ribosomal RNA", at positions 569 to 1022 of the family's 1831-position model. Lineage: Eukaryota; Fungi; Glomeromycota. The record is from RNAcentral.
AGCAGCCGCGGUAAUUCCAGCUCCAAUAGCGUAUAUUAAAGUUGUUGCAGUUAAAAAGCUCGUAGUUGAAUUUCGGGGUUUAUCCGUUGGUCGGGCUCUUGGGUCUGUACUGGCGUGAUGGAUUCCUACCUUCUGAAUAACCAGCAUGUCAUUAAUUUGGUGCGUUGGGGAAGCAGGACUGUUACCUUGAAAAAAUUAGAGUGCUUAAAGCAGGCUAUUGCCUGAAUACAUUAGCAUGGAAUAAUGAAAUAGGACGCAUGGUUCUAUUUUGUUGGUUUCUAGGAUCACCGUAAUGAUUAAUAGGGAUAGUUGGGGGCAUUAGUAUUCAAUUGUCAGAGGUGAAAUUCUUGGAUUUAUUGAAGACUAACUUCUGCGAAAGCAUUUGCCAAGGAUGUUUUCAUUAAUCAAGAACGAAAGUUAGGGGAUCGAAGACGAUCAGAUACCGUCGUA